AUCACUUCUCGGCCUUUUGGCUAUGAUCAAGUGUAGUAUCUGUUCUUAUCAGUUUAAUAUCUGAUACAUCCUCUAUCCGAGGACAUUAUAUUAAAUGUAUUUUUGUAAUAGAAUGGGCUAACAGAAGAAAAGAAAAAGCAACAGAGAGAUGGAAUAGGGAGACGGAAUAGGAGCUUGCUCCGUCCACUCCACACAUUGACCUGGCAUUGCAGUACCCCCAGGAACGGUGCACACACA
Non-coding RNA from Myotis lucifugus (little brown bat), 237 nucleotides. The record is from Rfam. NCBI's taxonomy places the organism in Eukaryota, Metazoa, Chordata, Mammalia, Chiroptera, Vespertilionidae.